This is an RNA transcript of Nicotiana attenuata, 1878 nucleotides long. It is a transcript of the gene named DDB1- and CUL4-associated factor 8-like, with no coding region annotated. Lineage: Eukaryota; Viridiplantae; Streptophyta; Magnoliopsida; Solanales; Solanaceae. The transcript has 5 exons. The record is from RefSeq and is a predicted model, not a curated record.
UUUUAUUGUUUUAUUUCAAUCCAAACUUGCUUUAAUUCACACUCGAAUGGGUACAUAAUUGCCAGAGUAGUCGACUCAAAUCCAAUAUUUUAAGUUUCAACUCAGUUUCUUAUUUUUCUCUCACAGAAGACACGCAAAAAGGACACAGAGAAGUUAAGCACUUGUGAGGAAACAUGGAGAGGCUGUACAAGGCUUUCGGGGAUGACUUCUUGGAGUUCUAUAAGAGAGAAAUUGGGAUUUCUCAGCCCAGAUACUUCGCUCGCCGAAUCUCUGCUUCUGAGGUUACAGUGAAGCGACUGGAUCUGUACGGGAAAUUAAAUGGUCACGAGGGAUGUGUUAACACAAUUGACUUCAAUGCCACUGGCGAUGUUCUUGCCUCAGGUUCCGAUGACCGACGAGUAAUACUAUGGGACUGGGCGACAAGAAAAUCAAAACUGUCUUACCAAUCAGGCCACAUGGACAACAUAUUCCAGGCCAAGUUCAUGCCCUUCACCGAUGAUCGGAGAAUAGUAACUGCCGCUGCUGAUGGCCAGGUUAGGCUUGGUCUGUUGCUGGAGAAUGGUCAAGUAGAAACUAAAAGGCUAGGUAGGCACCAAGGUCGUGUACAUAAGCUUGCCGUGGAACCAGGGAGCCCCUACAUAUUCUAUAGCUGCGGUGAAGAUGGUUUUGUUCAACACUAUGACCUGCGAAGUAAUUCUGCCACAAAGAUAUUCUGUUGCUCAUCUUUCGCGGAAAACAAUAAGCAAUCUUCUAGCAGCAUAAGUUUGAACGCCAUUGUGAUAGAUCCGAGAAAACCAAAUUAUUUUGCAGUUGGUGGUUCUGACGAAUAUGCACGUGUAUAUGACGUCAGAAUGUAUGAAAUGGACGCGUUGCGUAAUUCUGAUAGGCCUGUCAACACAUUUUGCCCCCCUCACCUGAUCAAAACACAUGACGUUCACAUUACAGCAUUGGCUUACUCGAGCUCUAGUGAGUUACUGGUCUCAUACAAUGACGAAUUGAUAUAUUUGUUUCAGAAGAACAUGGGAUUGGGUCCGUCUCCCCUGUCUUCGCGAGGUGAAGAUGCAAAGAAACUGGAAGAGCCACAAGUUUAUUCUGGGCAUAGAAAUUCGAGAACCAUUAAAGGUGUGAGUUUCUUUGGUCCAAAUGAUGAAUAUGUCUUGAGUGGAUCUGACUGGCCAUAUAUUUAUCUGGAAGAAAAAGGGCGCUAACCUUGUUAGGUUGAUGGUUGGUGAUUGGCACAUAGUAAAUCAGCUUGAGCCCCAUCCCUGUAUUCCUGUUCUUGCAACAUGUGGAAUAGAAAAGACCAUAAAGCUUUGGACCCCGUCAUCGAAUAAUGUUUCUUCAUUGCCUCGUGAUGUCCUUAAGAUAAUGGAAGCUAACAGGCGAGGUCGAGAGGACCAUUCACAGGUUACACUGACCCCAGAUGUAAUAAUGCAUGUUUUACGUCUGCAAAGGAGGCAAGGGGUGGCUUAUGUUGAGAGAAGACACAACAGAGAUGAUGUUGAGAGUGAUGAAGAUGAUGGGGAAGGGGCUUAUAUAUUAGGGUUUCCAGAUGGUGAUACUGAGGAGGGUGUUACAGGAAAUUCUGAAUGCAGCAUUAGCUAGAGUCAUAUGUAUAAUAUCGGGGAACAAAAAUUUUUAUCCUCUACUCUUUUCUUCUUAUCUUCUAAGAGUCUGUAUCUACAUCAGUAGAGCUAUAGCGCUUUCACAAGUUCAGCUAACAUCUGAGUUUGAGAAUUUGCUGGCUGCCUGUUCACAAUGUCGAUAAAUAAGCAGUGUGUCAUCUGCACUUGAGCAAAGUUCAAAGUUUAGCAUAUAUAAAUUAUCUUGUAUCUUGAUUAGAAUGGGUGAAUGGUUUCAAUUUGAAACUUGAAAGAU